AUCUACGGGGGGCAGCAGUGAGGAAUAUUGGUCAAUGGGCGGAAGCCUGAACCAGCCAAGUCGCGUGAGGGAAUAAGGCCCUACGGGUCGUAAACCUCUUUUGCCGGGGAGCAAGGGCCGGGACGCGUCCCGGCCCGGAGAGUACCCGGAGAAAAAGCAUCGGCUAACUCCGUGCCAGCAGCCGCGGUAAUACGGAGGAUGCGAGCGUUAUCCGGAUUUAUUGGGUUUAAAGGGUGCGUAGGCGGGCUUUUAAGUCAGCGGUGAAAAUUCGGGGCUCAACCCCGUCCGGCCGUUGAAACUGGGGG
RNAcentral lists this ribosomal RNA (305 nucleotides) under uncultured bacterium. RNAcentral describes it as "bacterial SSU rRNA". It matches the Rfam family "Bacterial small subunit ribosomal RNA", at positions 337 to 639 of the family's 1533-position model. The record is from RNAcentral.